GAAUAUUGGACAAUGGGGGGAACCCUGAUCCAGCCACGCCGGGUGUGUGAAGAAGGUCUUUUGGUUGUACAGCACUUUAAGCGAGGAGGAGGCUACUCUAGAUAAUACUUAGAGAUAGUGGACGUUACUCGCAGUAGAAGCACCGGCUAACUCUUUGCCAGCAGCCGCGGUAAUACAGAGGGUGCAAGCGUUAAUCGGAUUUACUGGGCGUAAAGCGCGCGUAGGUGGCCAAUUAAGUCAAAUGUGAAAUCCCCGAGCUUAACUUGGGAAUUGCAUUCGAUACUGGUUGGCUAGAGUAUGGGAGAGGAUGGUAGAAUUCCAGGUGUAGCGGUGAAAUGCGUAGAGAUCUGGAGGAAUACCGAUGGCGAAGGCAGCCAUCUGGCCUAAUACUGACACUGAGGUGCGAAAGCAUGGGGAGCAAAC
This 423-nucleotide ribosomal RNA is filed under the name uncultured bacterium. Its description in RNAcentral is "bacterial SSU rRNA". It matches the Rfam family "Bacterial small subunit ribosomal RNA", at positions 359 to 773 of the family's 1533-position model. The record is from RNAcentral.